CCUACGGGAGGCAGCAGUGGGGAAUAUUGCGCAAUGGGGGCAACCCUGACGCAGCAAUACCGCGUGAGUGAAGAAGGUUUUCGGAUCGUAAAGCUCUGUUAUUGGGGAAGAAGCAGUGACGGUACCCAAUGAGGAAGUCCCGGCUAACUACGUGCCAGCAGCCGCGGUAAUACGUAGGGGACGAGCGUUGUCCGGAAUCACUGGGCGUAAAGGGCGCGUAGGCGGUUUUAUAAGUCAGAUGUGAAAGGUACCGGCUCAACCGGUGACGUGCAUUUGAAACUGUAAGACUUGAGUACUGAAGAGGCAAGCGGAAUUCCUAGUGUAGCGGUGAAAUGCGUAGAUAUUAGGAAGAACACCGGUGGCGAAGGCGGCUUGCUGGGCAGAUACUGACGCUGAGGUGCGAAAGCGUGG
Molecule: ribosomal RNA, 411 nt
Filed under: uncultured Dialister sp.
Lineage: Bacteria; Bacillati; Bacillota; Negativicutes; Veillonellales; Veillonellaceae
Description: bacterial SSU rRNA
Rfam family: Bacterial small subunit ribosomal RNA
Source: RNAcentral